RNAcentral lists this ribosomal RNA (541 nucleotides) under Shigella sonnei. Its description in RNAcentral is "partial 23S ribosomal RNA". It matches the Rfam family "Bacterial large subunit ribosomal RNA", at positions 2211 to 2751 of the family's 2925-position model. The record is from RNAcentral. Lineage: Bacteria; Pseudomonadati; Pseudomonadota; Gammaproteobacteria; Enterobacterales; Enterobacteriaceae.
UGUUUGAUGUUCUAACGUGGACCCGUGAUCCGGGUUGCGGACAGUGUCUGGUGGGUAGUUUGACUGGGGCGGUCUCCUCCUAAAGAGUAACGGAGGAGCACGAAGGUUGGCUAAUCCUGGUCGGACAUCAGGAGGUUAGUGCAAUGGCAUAAGCCAGCUUGACUGCGAGCGUGACGGCGCGAGCAGGUGCGAAAGCAGGUCAUAGUGAUCCGGUGGUUCUGAAUGGAAGGGCCAUCGCUCAACGGAUAAAAGGUACUCCGGGGAUAACAGGCUGAUACCGCCCAAGAGUUCAUAUCGACGGCGGUGUUUGGCACCUCGAUGUCGGCUCAUCACAUCCUGGGGCUGAAGUAGGUCCCAAGGGUAUGGCUGUUCGCCAUUUAAAGUGGUACGCGAGCUGGGUUUAGAACGUCGUGAGACAGUUCGGUCCCUAUCUGCCGUGGGCGCUGGAGAACUGAGGGGGGCUGCUCCUAGUACGAGAGGACCGGAGUGGACGCAUCACUGGUGUUCGGGUUGUCAUGCCAAUGGCACUGCCCGGUAGCUA